Molecule: small RNA, 732 nt
Filed under: Pan troglodytes (chimpanzee)
Lineage: Eukaryota; Metazoa; Chordata; Mammalia; Primates; Hominidae
Description: retained intron
Source: RNAcentral
GGGGACAUGCCGGGAGUUGCAGUCCCCUCAGGAAAGUAGCGUCUUGAUCUGUGUGGCGUGGUUCUGUGCCUUGGGAAGAGAUGAAUGGGAAGCGGCCAGCGGAGCCCGGCGCAGCCCGGGUGGGAAAAAAGGGAAAGAAGGAGGUGAUGGCGGAGUUUUCGGACGCUGUUACGGAAGAAACCUUGAAAAAGCAGGUGGCUGAGGCCUGGAGCCGCAGGACGCCGUUCAGUCACGAAGUCAUUGUCAUGGACAUGGACCCUUUUCUUCACUGUGUGAUCCCAAACUUCAUCCAAAGCCAAGACUUCUUAGAAGGGCUUCAGAAGGAACUGAUGAACUUGGACUUCCAUGAGAAGUAUAAUGAUUUAUAUAAGUUCCAGCAGUCUGAUGAUUUGAAGAAGAGAAGAGAGCCUCACAUCUCCACUUUAAGGUAAACAAGUAAUCAUAUUUGUUGGGUGCUAAUAUGUGCCAGGCAGAGUAGUAAGUGCUUUAAAUGUUACAACAUUGUGUAUGUCAUAUAAUUCUUGUUGACAUUGUUAACCCACUUUGUAGAGGAGGAAAGAGACCGAGAAAUUGAGUUUGCAUAGCUUAAAAUUAAGGGAGCUAGCAUACAAACCUAAGUCUGUCUGAUUCCAAGGCCCAAGUUCUCAGUGAUAAAAUGCUCAAUCUUGUUAGUAAUCAAGGAAACAGAAGUUAACACUGGAGAUACCAUUUUUCACGUUAGGUUGGUAAAUA